UAUUCAGCCUUUUAAAUUUGUAAUCAAAAUGUAGAAAUGAAAUUCAAAUGAAAUUUAUUAAGAGGAAAUAAGUGUACAUAGUAUCGAUGGAAUAAAACUAAACGGCAAUGCGCAUUCUGCUCAAAUCAAAAAUGGCGGUAAAUGUAAAUAUUUGAACUUAGAAGUUUGUUUUGUAGAAUGAGUGCAGCUUUGUGUUGAAAAUUGCUGAAAUUGUUAUCAACUAUUAAGUUAUCUUAAGAUUGCGCGAUGUCGCCGCGUCUGCACACGCGAAGAUGAAGAGUUCCUCUGUGACUCGAAACUAGUAGAACUUUUCUCAGUAUAUUAUGUGGAAAGAACGAAAGAUACGUCAUACAUACCGCCUCAUCGGUGAUAGCGUGUAUAUGUCCGGGGAACUUUGGCAUGUCCCGUCCCUCCACGGAGACGCUCUGGCCGCGGUGGUACCACCGACGCUCGUACAACAGCU
Long non-coding RNA from Spodoptera frugiperda (fall armyworm), 463 nucleotides. RefSeq lists it as uncharacterized. Lineage: Eukaryota; Metazoa; Arthropoda; Insecta; Lepidoptera; Noctuidae. The transcript is spliced from 3 exons. The record is from RefSeq and is a predicted model, not a curated record.